CGUCUGAUUAGCUAGUUGGUGAGGUAAUGGCUCACCAAGGCGACGAUCAGUAGCCGGCCUGAGAGGGUGAACGGCCACACUGGAACUGAGACACGGUCCAGACUCCUACGGGAGGCAGCAGUGGGGAAUAUUGCACAAUGGGCGAAAGCCUGAUGCAGCGACGCCGCGUGAGUGAAGAAGGUCUUCGGAUCGUAAAACUCUGUCCUUGGGGAAGAUAAUGACGGUACCCAAGGAGGAAGCCCCGGCUAACUACG
This 254-nucleotide ribosomal RNA is filed under the name Sedimentibacter sp. BAF1. RNAcentral describes it as "partial 16S ribosomal RNA". It matches the Rfam family "Bacterial small subunit ribosomal RNA", at positions 234 to 505 of the family's 1533-position model. The record is from RNAcentral. Lineage: Bacteria; Bacillati; Bacillota; Tissierellia.